Molecule: ribosomal RNA, 2889 nt
Filed under: Pseudomonas sp. GM48
Lineage: Bacteria; Pseudomonadati; Pseudomonadota; Gammaproteobacteria; Pseudomonadales; Pseudomonadaceae
Description: bacterial LSU rRNA
Rfam family: Bacterial large subunit ribosomal RNA
Source: RNAcentral
CAAGUGAAGAAGCGCAUACGGUGGAUGCCUUGGCAGUCAGAGGCGAUGAAAGACGUGGUAGCCUGCGAAAAGCUUCGGGGAGUCGGCAAACAGACUUUGAUCCGGAGAUGUCUGAAUGGGGGAACCCAGCCAUCAUAAGAUGGUUAUCUUGUACUGAAUACAUAGGUGCAAGAGGCGAACCAGGGGAACUGAAACAUCUAAGUACCCUGAGGAAAAGAAAUCAACCGAGAUUCCCUUAGUAGUGGCGAGCGAACGGGGACUAGCCCUUAAGUGGCUUUGAGAUUAGCGGAACGCUCUGGAAAGUGCGGCCAUAGUGGGUGAUAGCCCUGUACGCGAAAAUCUCUUAGUCAUGAAAUCGAGUAGGACGGAGCACGAGAAACUUUGUCUGAAUAUGGGGGGACCAUCCUCCAAGGCUAAAUACUACUGACUGACCGAUAGUGAACUAGUACCGUGAGGGAAAGGCGAAAAGAACCCCGGAGAGGGGAGUGAAAUAGAUCCUGAAACCGUAUGCGUACAAGCAGUGGGAGCCCACUUUGUUGGGUGACUGCGUACCUUUUGUAUAAUGGGUCAGCGACUUAUUUUCAGUGGCGAGCUUAACCGAAUAGGGGAGGCGUAGCGAAAGCGAGUCUUAAUAGGGCGUCUAGUCGCUGGGAAUAGACCCGAAACCGGGCGAUCUAUCCAUGGGCAGGUUGAAGGUUAGGUAACACUGACUGGAGGACCGAACCGACUACCGUUGAAAAGUUAGCGGAUGACCUGUGGAUCGGAGUGAAAGGCUAAUCAAGCUCGGAGAUAGCUGGUUCUCCUCGAAAGCUAUUUAGGUAGCGCCUCAUGUAUCACUGUAGGGGGUAGAGCACUGUUUCGGCUAGGGGGUCAUCCCGACUUACCAAACCGAUGCAAACUCCGAAUACCUACAAGUGCCGAGCAUGGGAGACACACGGCGGGUGCUAACGUCCGUCGUGAAAAGGGAAACAACCCAGACCGUCAGCUAAGGUCCCAAAGUUAUGGUUAAGUGGGAAACGAUGUGGGAAGGCUUAGACAGCUAGGAGGUUGGCUUAGAAGCAGCCACCCUUUAAAGAAAGCGUAAUAGCUCACUAGUCGAGUCGGCCUGCGCGGAAGAUGUAACGGGGCUCAAACCAUACACCGAAGCUACGGGUAUCAUCUUCGGAUGAUGCGGUAGAGGAGCGUUCUGUAAGCCUGUGAAGGUGAGUUGAGAAGCUUGCUGGAGGUAUCAGAAGUGCGAAUGCUGACAUGAGUAACGACAAUGGGUGUGAAAAACACCCACGCCGAAAGACCAAGGUUUCCUGCGCAACGUUAAUCGACGCAGGGUUAGUCGGUCCCUAAGGCGAGGCUGAAAAGCGUAGUCGAUGGAAAACAGGUUAAUAUUCCUGUACUUCUGGUUAUUGCGAUGGAGGGACGGAGAAGGCUAGGCCAGCUUGGCGUUGGUUGUCAAGUUUAAGGUGGUAGGCUGGAAUCUUAGGUAAAUCCGGGAUUCUAAGGCCGAGAGCUGAUGACGAGUUACCCUCUGGGUGACGAAGUGGUUGAUGCCAUGCUUCCAAGAAAAGCUUCUAAGCUUCAGAUAACCAGGAACCGUACCCCAAACCGACACAGGUGGUUGGGUAGAGAAUACCAAGGCGCUUGAGAGAACUCGGGUGAAGGAACUAGGCAAAAUGGCACCGUAACUUCGGGAGAAGGUGCGCCGGUGAGGGUGAAGCAUUUACUGCGUAAGCCCACGCCGGUCGAAGAUACCAGGCCGCUGCGACUGUUUAUUAAAAACACAGCACUCUGCAAACACGAAAGUGGACGUAUAGGGUGUGACGCCUGCCCGGUGCCGGAAGGUUAAUUGAUGGGGUUAGCUAACGCGAAGCUCUUGAUCGAAGCCCCGGUAAACGGCGGCCGUAACUAUAACGGUCCUAAGGUAGCGAAAUUCCUUGUCGGGUAAGUUCCGACCUGCACGAAUGGCGUAACGAUGGCGGCGCUGUCUCCACCCGAGACUCAGUGAAAUUGAAAUCGCUGUGAAGAUGCAGUGUAUCCGCGGCUAGACGGAAAGACCCCGUGAACCUUUACUAUAGCUUUGCACUGGACUUUGAAUUUGCUUGUGUAGGAUAGGUGGGAGGCUUUGAAGCGUGGACGCCAGUUCGCGUGGAGCCAUCCUUGAAAUACCACCCUGGCAACUUUGAGGUUCUAACUCAGGUCCGUUAUCCGGAUCGAGGACAGUGUAUGGUGGGUAGUUUGACUGGGGCGGUCUCCUCCUAAAGAGUAACGGAGGAGUACGAAGGUGCGCUCAGACCGGUCGGAAAUCGGUCGUAGAGUAUAAAGGCAAAAGCGCGCUUGACUGCGAGACAGACACGUCGAGCAGGUACGAAAGUAGGUCUUAGUGAUCCGGUGGUUCUGUAUGGAAGGGCCAUCGCUCAACGGAUAAAAGGUACUCCGGGGAUAACAGGCUGAUACCGCCCAAGAGUUCAUAUCGACGGCGGUGUUUGGCACCUCGAUGUCGGCUCAUCACAUCCUGGGGCUGAAGCCGGUCCCAAGGGUAUGGCUGUUCGCCAUUUAAAGUGGUACGCGAGCUGGGUUUAGAACGUCGUGAGACAGUUCGGUCCCUAUCUGCCGUGGACGUUUGAGAUUUGAGAGGGGCUGCUCCUAGUACGAGAGGACCGGAGUGGACGAACCUCUGGUGUUCCGGUUGUCACGCCAGUGGCAUUGCCGGGUAGCUAUGUUCGGGAAAGAUAACCGCUGAAAGCAUCUAAGCGGGAAACUUGCCUCAAGAUGAGAUCUCACUGGAACCUUGAGUUCCCUGAAGGGCCGUCGAAGACUACGACGUUGAUAGGUUGGGUGUGUAAGCGCUGUGAGGCGUUGAGCUAACCAAUACUAAUUGCCCGUGAGGCUUGACCA